AAAUCAGGGUAUUUCAGUCGCAGUUUCCAAUAAAAGCAGCGGCAUAUGGGCAAAUUCGUGCAAGGUAUCCUGAGCCAAGCAGGAUUGAAAGAGAUUGAUUGUGCCGGAGAACCUACGGCUAGAGGAGGAAGGUUUUGUUCAAGGUCUUAGCCAAGUUCAGUCUACUAUUGGCAAAAUAAUUUCCUGAAAGCUGUGUUGACAAAUACAUUUUGCGUAGUCAAAUGCGCAGGAGAGUCAAAACAACACCGUAUCUACCUCUGAGGAAGUGAAUAUCGCCGAAAAUCCUUUCAGUGCACUUUUCAGGACAUGGCCAACAAAUAUAGUUUUACUAUCCUACUUAUCUUUUGCCUGGCCGCACCAGCUAUCUCAGUCCACGCCUGCAAUCCACAACUCAAUGACUGUAGCAACUUCUCCAAAAGGCUUGAGGCAUUGAAGAAACGAAAUGUUGGCUGCCCUAAAAUUGCAGGCACAGUAUGCGACCCAGACCUUGCCAAUCCUUGUCCUUGCCCGAAGUAUGGUGCUACAUACUUAUGCGAGUGGGAGAUCAAAAGCCUCACGCCUUAUACGGGAAGAUAUGAAUGCGUCAGACAAUGUUUGGGCGAAUGUUGAUAGGACUGAACGGGAAAUUUAUGUUUUUUUGCGGCUACAUAUAGCGUGGUUAAUUACGUGGUUAAUUUUUCUGCAAAAUAGUUUCGAGAUUUUCAUUGGUGUUGUGUUCUGCUUUUUCUUGAUAUAUGUUUCUGUAAGUUGUUUUUUGUUUGUUUCAUAUUUUAAUCAUGAGAAAAAAGUUAUCGAAGGAAACCUUUGAAGGAAGUUUUGAGGGACAGUUAGGCCCAGUUCAGACACCGAACUUUUCAUGAGCCGAACCAAAUACAUUGAAUCAAGCACAUGAAAAGUUCGG
This is an unclassified non-coding RNA of Orbicella faveolata, 901 nucleotides long. The record is from RefSeq and is a predicted model, not a curated record. Lineage: Eukaryota; Metazoa; Cnidaria; Anthozoa; Scleractinia; Merulinidae.